UCUUGUUUCUUCCCCUUUCCAAAAUAGUAGAGAAACAAAAGGCAAGCAAAUCAAUAUAAUAAAGAGAUGGAUGAAAAAGAACCUCCCAUCUAGAGCUCCAGAAGAGAAUUUUGGAGACUGUGGUAUGAGAGGAUCCAGAUCAGCUGUGUGAUUUAAGAUUUAAGGAAACUUAUGAGUAUUCUAGGAGUCUUUGCUCCACAACCCUGCAUUCUCAAGACCGCUGUGUCUUAAGAAGCUGAUCUGUAUUGAUAAUACCAGCAGUGUCCUCUGGGGUUUAACUGAUAGAAGGCACCAAAAGGAGAUGAACGUUCAAAGGCUGGAUUGUUGAUGUAGUACUCACCAGUCAACUUCAGUCAGGUGGAGAAUGACCAUAUCCUAGAGCAGAGAUUGGCAAACUUUUUCUGUGAAGAGGUCAUAUGGUCUGCAUGGAAACUAAUUAUCUCUGCCAUUGUAGCAUUAAAGCCACCACAGACAAUACUUAAAUGAAUGUGUUCAGCUGUGUGCCAAUAAAACUUUAUUUAC
Herpailurus yagouaroundi (jaguarundi) is the source of this 522-nucleotide long non-coding RNA. RefSeq lists it as uncharacterized. Lineage: Eukaryota; Metazoa; Chordata; Mammalia; Carnivora; Felidae. The record is from RefSeq and is a predicted model, not a curated record. The transcript has 3 exons.